RNAcentral lists this ribosomal RNA (254 nucleotides) under uncultured bacterium. Its description in RNAcentral is "partial 16S ribosomal RNA". It matches the Rfam family "Bacterial small subunit ribosomal RNA", at positions 524 to 776 of the family's 1533-position model. The record is from RNAcentral.
CACGUAGGGUGCGAGCGUUGUCCGGAAUUAUUGGGCGUAAAGAGCUCGUAGGCGGUGUGUCGCGUCGGCCGUGAAAACCUGCAGCUUAACUGUGGGCUUGCGGUCGAUACGGGCAUCACUAGAGUUCGGCAGGGGAGACUGGGAUUCCUGGUGUAGCGGUGAAAUGCGCAGAUAUCAGGAGGAACACCGGUGGCGAAGGCGGGUCUCUGGGCCGAUACUGACGCUGAGGAGCGAAAGCGUGGGGAGCGAACAGG